Molecule: ribosomal RNA, 253 nt
Filed under: uncultured bacterium
Lineage: Bacteria
Description: partial 16S ribosomal RNA
Rfam family: Bacterial small subunit ribosomal RNA
Source: RNAcentral
UACGUAGGGACCAAGCGUUGUUCGGAUUUACUGGGCGUAAAGGGCGCGUAGGCGGCGUGGUAAGUCAGUUGUGAAAUCUCCGAGCUUAACUCGGAACGGCCAACUGAUACUGCUGUGCUAGAGUGCAGAAGGGGCAAUCAGAAUUCUUGGUGUAGCGGCGAAAUGCGUAGAUAUCAAGAGGAAUACCAGAGGUGAAGACGGGUUGCUAGGCUGACACUGACGCUGAGGCGCGAAAGCCAGGGGAGCAAACGGG